GGGCAAUUAGCUCAGCUGGUUAGAGCGCUUCGUUCACAUCGAAGAGGUCACAGGUUCGAGUCCUGUAUUGCCCA
This 74-nucleotide transfer RNA is filed under the name Candidatus Omnitrophota bacterium. RNAcentral's name for it is "Candidatus Omnitrophica bacterium (groundwater metagenome) tRNA-Val". It matches the Rfam family "tRNA". From Rfam's summary of the family: Transfer RNA (tRNA) molecules are approximately 80 nucleotides in length. Their secondary structure includes four short double-helical elements and three loops (D, anti-codon, and T loops). Lineage: Bacteria; Pseudomonadati; Candidatus Omnitrophota. The record is from RNAcentral.